This 226-nucleotide long non-coding RNA is filed under the name Lathyrus oleraceus (garden pea). Its description in RNAcentral is "Pisum sativum (pea) long non-coding RNA (PSAT_LNC000691)". The record is from RNAcentral. Lineage: Eukaryota; Viridiplantae; Streptophyta; Magnoliopsida; Fabales; Fabaceae.
AAAAAGAUAAAAUAAAUAAUAAUAGGGGUACACUAUCAUUACAAGAGGUAAAAUAAUUAAAAACUAAAGAAAAAAAAAGAAAAAAAGAAAUAAUAAGAAAAUAAUAAAUAAUAAAUAUACAAAAGACAAAAACAAACUGAAAAUUAGGGGUGUAGUUAGAAAAAUCCUCUAGGCCCAAAGAAGGGAACUCAUAGGAACGCACUGAGCAAUUAGGGAUGUGGAUGAG